Molecule: ribosomal RNA, 470 nt
Filed under: uncultured Methanomicrobiales archaeon
Lineage: Archaea; Methanobacteriati; Methanobacteriota; Methanomicrobia; Methanomicrobiales
Description: bacterial SSU rRNA
Rfam family: Archaeal small subunit ribosomal RNA
Source: RNAcentral
ACGGGGAGCACCACAACAGGUGGAGCCUGCGGUUUAAUCGGACUCAACGCCGGGAAACUCACCAGUUAAGACAGCUGAAUGAUAGUCGGGCUGAAGACUCUACUUGACUAGCUGAGAGGAGGUGCAUGGCCGUCGUCAGUUCGUACUGUGAAGCAUCCUGUUAAGUCAGGCAACGAGCGAGACCCACGCCAACAGUUGCUAGCUCGUCCUCCGGGAUGGAGAGGACACUGUUGGGACCGCCUCUGCUAAAGAGGAGGAAGGAAUGGGCAACGGUAGGUCAGCAUGCCCCGAAUUAACUGGGCUACACGCGGGCUACAAUGGGUGGGACAAUGGGUAUCGACACCGAAAGGUGAAGGCAAUCUCCUAAACCCAUCCGUAGUUCGGAUUGUGGGCUGCAACUCGCCCACAUGAAGCUGGAAUCUGUAGUAAUCGUGUCUCAAAAUGGCACGGUGAAUAUGUCCCUGCUCCUU